CCUCCUUUUCUUGGCGGGGGCCGGGUGUAGGGCCCACUCUCCUUUAUGGAUGGAGGCAGAGGGAAGGGGCUCUGGCCCCUCAGUGUCGCGUCUUCAGUGGCGGGGGCUUCCCUUCCUCCGGUUCUAUCCUCAAGCACCAGGGCACCA
Molecule: small nucleolar RNA, 147 nt
Filed under: Propithecus coquereli (Coquerel's sifaka)
Lineage: Eukaryota; Metazoa; Chordata; Mammalia; Primates; Indriidae
Description: Small nucleolar RNA SNORA57 (ENSPCOG00000001597.1)
Rfam family: Small nucleolar RNA SNORA57
About the family: U99 belongs to the H/ACA class of snoRNAs which are thought to guide the sites of modification of uridines to pseudouridines, the target for this family is unknown.
Source: Rfam by way of RNAcentral